UGCACUCUUAGCUCGGCCUCUCUUUGUUGUUGCUCAUUCAUGGUCUGUUUUAUCCUUAAUUGGUCUUCAAAAGCUUGUGCGGGUGAUAAUGCUGCUAAAGUAACCCUUCGUCCAUCAUGAUCAAAGGAGUACCUAUUCCUAAAUCCAUCAUGCACUACCUUCCUAUCAUAUUGCCAUGGUCUCCCUAGCAAAAUAUGUCCAGCAUGCAUUGGCACCACAUCACACAACACCUCAUCCUUAUACCUUCC
Molecule: unclassified non-coding RNA, 248 nt
Filed under: Hevea brasiliensis (rubber tree)
Lineage: Eukaryota; Viridiplantae; Streptophyta; Magnoliopsida; Malpighiales; Euphorbiaceae
Source: RNAcentral